Macrobrachium nipponense is the source of this 192-nucleotide small nuclear RNA. RefSeq annotates it as U2 spliceosomal RNA. Lineage: Eukaryota; Metazoa; Arthropoda; Malacostraca; Decapoda; Palaemonidae. The record is from RefSeq and is a predicted model, not a curated record. The transcript has a single exon.
AUCGCUCCUCGGCCUUUUGGCUAAGAUCAAAGUGUAGUAUCUGUUCGUAUCAGCUUAAUAUCUGAUACGAUCCCCUUGUGGAUCUACGAUAUUAAACUGAUUUUGGGGUCUUGGCGAAAUGAGAGGUCCUUGCUCCACCUUUGCCGCAAAUGGGUCCGGUCUUGCAGUACGUCCAGCAUCGGUCUACUCCCA